Molecule: ribosomal RNA, 524 nt
Filed under: uncultured bacterium
Lineage: Bacteria
Description: partial 16S ribosomal RNA
Rfam family: Bacterial small subunit ribosomal RNA
Source: RNAcentral
GACGAACGCUGGCGGCGUGCCUAAUACAUGCAAGUCGAACGCUUCUUUCCUCCCGAGCGCUUGCACUCAAUUGGAAAGAGGAGUGGCGGACGGGUGAGUAACACGUGGGUAACCUACCCAUCAGAGGGGGAUAACACUUGGAAACAGGUGCUAAUACCGCAUAACAGUUUAUGCCGCAUGGCAUAAGAGUGAAAGGCGCUUUCGGGUGUCGCUGAUGGAUGGACCCGCGGUGCAUUAGCUAGUUGGUGAGGUAACGGCUCACCAAGGCCACGAUGCAGAGCCGACCUGAGAGGGUGAUCGGCCACACUGGGACUGAGACACAGCCCAGACUCCUACGGGAGGCAGCAGUAGGGAAUCUUCGGCAAUGGACGGAAGUCUGACCGAGCAACGCCGCGUGAGUGAAGAAGGUUUUCGGAUCGUAAAACUCUGUUGUUAGAGAAGAACAAGGACGUUAGUAACUGAACGUCCCCUGACGGUAUCUAACCAGAAAGCCACGGCUAACUACGUGCCAGCCGCCGCGGUAA